GUCGGGAAUAUUGCACAAUGGAGGAAACUCUGAUGCAGUGACGCCGCGUGCAGGAAGAAGGUUUUCGGAUUGUAAACUGCUUUAGACAGGGAAGAAGAAAGACAGUACCUGUAGAAUAAGCUCCGGCUAACUACGUGCCAGCAGCCGCGGUAAUACGUAGGGAGCAAGCGUUAUCCGGAUUUAUUGGGUGUAAAGGGUGCGUAGACGGGUAUAUAAGUUAGUUGUGAAAUCCCUCGGCUCAACUGAGGAACUGCAACUAAAACUGUAAAUCUUGAGUGCGGGAGAGGAAAGUGGAAUUCCUAGUGUAGCGGUGAAAUGCGUAGAUAUUAGGAGGAACACCAGUGGCGAAGGCGACUUUCUGGACCGUAACUGACGUUGAGGCACGAAAGUGUGGGGAGCAAACAGG
This 406-nucleotide ribosomal RNA is filed under the name uncultured bacterium. RNAcentral's name for it is "bacterial SSU rRNA". It matches the Rfam family "Bacterial small subunit ribosomal RNA", at positions 354 to 776 of the family's 1533-position model. The record is from RNAcentral.